Molecule: ribosomal RNA, 220 nt
Filed under: uncultured microorganism
Description: partial 16S ribosomal RNA
Rfam family: Bacterial small subunit ribosomal RNA
Source: RNAcentral
GAGUUUGAUCUUGGCUCAGGAUGAACGCUGGCGGCGUGCCUAAUACAUGCAAGUCGAACGAACAGAUAAGGAGCUCGCUCCUUUGACGUUAGCGGCGGACGGGUGAGUAACACGUGGGUAACCUACCUAUAAGACUGGAAUAACUCCGGGAAACCGGGCUAAUGCCGGAUAACAUGUUAGAACCGCAUUGGUUCCUACAGUAGAAAGACGGUCUUGCUGU